This 482-nucleotide ribosomal RNA is filed under the name uncultured bacterium. Its description in RNAcentral is "partial 16S ribosomal RNA". It matches the Rfam family "Bacterial small subunit ribosomal RNA", at positions 30 to 507 of the family's 1533-position model. The record is from RNAcentral.
AUUGAACGCUGGCGGCAUGCUUUACACAUGCAAGUCGAACGGUAACAGGCCGCAAGGUGCUGACGAGUGGCGAACGGGUGAGUAAUGCAUCGGAACGUGCCCAGUCGUGGGGGAUAACUACUCUAAAGAGUAGCUAAUACCGCAUACGAUCUAUGGAUGAAAGCGGGGGACCGUAAGGCCUCGCGCGAUUGGAGCGGCCGAUGUCAGAUUAGGUAGUUGGUGGGGUAAAGGCUCACCAAGCCAACGAUCUGUAGCUGGUCUGAGAGGAUGACCAGCCACACUGGGACUGAGACACGGCCCAGACUCCUACGGGAGGAAGCAGUGGGGAAUUUUGGACAAUGGGCGCAAGCCUGAUCCAGCAAUGCCGCGUGCAGGAAGAAGGCCUUCGGGUUGUAAACUGCUUUUGUACGGAACGAAACGGCUCUGGUUAAUACCCGGGGCUAAUGACGGUACCGUAAGAAUAAGCACCGGCUAACUACGUG